GCAAAGCGGACAUUAUCCGCUCUCCUAAAGCGGGUGUCGCAGGUUCGAAUCCUGCCGAGGGCA
This 63-nucleotide transfer RNA is filed under the name Nocardia higoensis. RNAcentral's name for it is "tRNA-Ser". The record is from RNAcentral. Lineage: Bacteria; Bacillati; Actinomycetota; Actinomycetes; Mycobacteriales; Nocardiaceae.